GCUACACCGAUUGAAAAUUGAGUGGCGAACGGGUGAGUAACACGUGGGUAACCUGCCCAAAAGAGGGGGAUAACACUUGGAAACAGGUGCUAAUACCGCAUAACCAUGAUGACCGCAUGGUCAUUAUGUAAAAGAUGGUUUCGGCUAUCACUUUUGGAUGGACCCGCGGCGUAUUAACUUGUUGGUGGGGUAACGGCCUACCAAGGUAAUGAUACGUAGCCGAACUGAGAGGUUGAUCGGCCACAUUGGGACUGAGACACGGCCCAAACUCCUACGGGAGGCAGCAGUAGGGAAUCUUCCACAAUGGGCGCAAGCCUGAUGGAGCAACGCCGCGUGAGUGAAGAAGGUCUUCGGAUCGUAAAACUCUGUUGUUAGAGAAGAACAUGCAGGAGAGUAACUGUUCUUGUAUUGACGGUAUCUAACCAGAAAGCCACG
RNAcentral lists this ribosomal RNA (435 nucleotides) under Ligilactobacillus agilis. RNAcentral describes it as "bacterial SSU rRNA". It matches the Rfam family "Bacterial small subunit ribosomal RNA", at positions 74 to 495 of the family's 1533-position model. The record is from RNAcentral. Lineage: Bacteria; Bacillati; Bacillota; Bacilli; Lactobacillales; Lactobacillaceae.